AACACCACUGGAGGUCCGAACCACUAGUGUUGAAAAACUAGGGGAUGAGCUGUGGGUAGGGGUGAAAGGCUAAACAAUCUGGAGAUAGCUGGUUCUCCCCGAAAACUAUUUAGGUAGUGCCUCAUAUGGACACUUCCGGGGGUAGAGCACUGUAAUGGUUGAGGGGGUCGUUUAGAUCUACCUCGCCAUAGCAAACUCCGAAUACCGGAAAGUGAUGUAUGGGAGACAGACGGUGGGUGCUAACGUCCAUCGUCAAGAGGGAAACAACCCAGACCGCCAGCUAAGGUCCCCAAUGAUUGGCUAAGUGGAAAACGAGGUGGGAAGGCAUAGACAGUCAGGAGGUUGGCUUAGAAGCAGCCAUCCUUUAAAGAAAGCGUAAUAGCUCACUGAUCGAGUCGUCCUGCGCGGAAGAUGUAACGGGGCUCAAGCCAAUAACCGAAGCUGCGGAUAUCCGUAAGGAUAUGGUAGGGGAGCGUUCCGUAGGCCGUUGAAGGUGUGUCGAAAGGCAUGCUGGAGGUAUCGGAAGUGCGAAUGCUGAC
RNAcentral lists this ribosomal RNA (539 nucleotides) under uncultured bacterium. RNAcentral's name for it is "bacterial LSU rRNA". It matches the Rfam family "Bacterial large subunit ribosomal RNA", at positions 759 to 1301 of the family's 2925-position model. The record is from RNAcentral.